This 72-nucleotide transfer RNA is filed under the name Heterocephalus glaber (naked mole-rat). It matches the Rfam family "tRNA". From Rfam's summary of the family: Transfer RNA (tRNA) molecules are approximately 80 nucleotides in length. Their secondary structure includes four short double-helical elements and three loops (D, anti-codon, and T loops). Further hydrogen bonds mediate the characteristic L-shaped molecular structure. tRNAs have two regions of fundamental functional importance: the anti-codon, which is responsible for specific mRNA codon recognition, and the 3' end, to which the tRNAs corresponding amino acid is attached (by aminoacyl-tRNA synthetases). tRNAs cope with the degeneracy of the genetic code in two manners: having more than one tRNA (with a specific anti-codon) for a particular amino acid; and 'wobble' base-pairing, i.e. permitting non-standard base-pairing at the 3rd anti-codon position. The record is from Rfam by way of RNAcentral. Lineage: Eukaryota; Metazoa; Chordata; Mammalia; Rodentia; Bathyergidae.
UGGAGUGUAGCUCAGUUGUAUAGCACUUGUCUAACGUCCAUGUUGCCCUGGGUUCAAUCCCCAGCACCACUU